This 857-nucleotide ribosomal RNA is filed under the name uncultured bacterium. Its description in RNAcentral is "bacterial SSU rRNA". It matches the Rfam family "Bacterial small subunit ribosomal RNA", at positions 8 to 859 of the family's 1533-position model. The record is from RNAcentral.
AGAGUUUGAUCAUGGCUCAGAUUGAACGCUGGCGGCAUGCCUUACACAUGCAAGUCGAACGGAUCUAGGGGCUUGCUCCUAGGUUAGUGGCGAACGGGUGAGUAAUGCAUCGGAACGUGCCCAGUCGUGGGGGAUAACGUAGCGAAAGUUACGCUAAUACCGCAUACGUCCUGAGGGAGAAAGCGGGGGACUCGCAAGAGCCUCGCGCGAUUGGAGCGGCCGAUGUCGGAUUAGCUAGUUGGUGGGGUAAAGGCUUACCAAGGCGACGAUCCGUAGCUGGUCUGAGAGGAUGAUCAGCCACACUGGGACUGGGACACGGCCCAGACUCCUACGGGAGGCAGCAGUGGGGAAUUUUGGACAAUGGGGGAAACCCUGAUCCAGCCAUGCCGCGUGAGUGAAGAAGGCCUUCGGGUUGUAAAGCUCUUUCGGACGGAAAGAAAUCUUCUGGGCUAACACCCCGGGAGGAUGACGGUACCGUAAGAAGAAGCACCGGCUAACUACGUGCCAGCAGCCGCGGUAAUACGUAGGGUGCGAGCGUUAAUCGGAAUUACUGGGCGUAAAGCGUGCGCAGGCGGUUGUGCAAGACAGGUGUGAAAUCCCCGGGCUUAACCUGGGAACUGCGCUUGUGACUGCACAACUAGAGUACGGCAGAGGGGGGUGGAAUUCCUGGUGUAGCAGUGAAAUGCGUAGAUAUCAGGAGGAACAUCGAUGGCGAAGGCAGCCCCCUGGGCCAGUACUGACGCUCAUGCACGAAAGCGUGGGGAGCAAACAGGAUUAGAUACCCUGGUAGUCCACGCCCUAAACGAUGUCGACUAGUUGUUCGGUGGGUAAAACCGCUGAGUAACGUAGCUAACGCG